Molecule: non-coding RNA, 90 nt
Organism: Mycena rebaudengoi
Lineage: Eukaryota; Fungi; Basidiomycota; Agaricomycetes; Agaricales; Mycenaceae
Source: the annotation of a GenBank genome assembly
GGUUCAAUGGUGCACUGUGCACGCCUGCUAGAUAUUGCACCCUUCACAGCCCCUCUGCAGGAGACGCCCGUUCGAUUCGGGCUUGGACCA